AGACCGAUAGCGAACAAGUACCGUGAGGGAAAGAUGAAAAGCACUUUGGAAAGAGAGUUAAACAGUACGUGAAAUUGUUGAAAGGGAAACGAUUGAAGUCAGUCAUGCUCUUGGGACUUACCUCCCUUGAGUGGGGUCAACAUCAGUUUUGAUCGAUGGAUAAAGGCACUAGGAAGGUAGCACCCUCGGGUGAACUUAUAGCCUAGCGUCAUAUACAUUGAUUGGGACUGAGGAACGCAGCAUGCCUUUAUGGCCGGGAUUCGUCCACGUACAUGCUUAGGAUGUUGACAUAAUGGCUUUAAACGACCCGUCUUGAAACACGGACCAAG
RNAcentral lists this ribosomal RNA (329 nucleotides) under Naganishia albida. Its description in RNAcentral is "partial large subunit ribosomal RNA". It matches the Rfam family "Eukaryotic large subunit ribosomal RNA", at positions 331 to 670 of the family's 3401-position model. The record is from RNAcentral. Lineage: Eukaryota; Fungi; Basidiomycota; Tremellomycetes; Filobasidiales; Filobasidiaceae. RNAcentral also lists the same sequence under 1 other name.